GGCAGCAGUGGGGAAUAUUGGACAAUGGGCGAAAGCCUGAUCCAGCCAUGCCGCGUGAGUGAUGAAGGUCUUCGGAUCGUAAAGCUCUGUGGGAAGGGACGAAAAAGCCUAACCUAAUACGUUAGGUCUUGACGUACCUUCUUAGCAAGCACCGGCUAACUCCGUGCCAGCAGCCGCGGUAAUACGGAGGGUGCAAACGUUGCUCGGAAUUAUUGGGCGUAAAGCGCACGUAGGCGGUCCGCUAAGUCGGAUGUGAAAAGCCCUCGGCUUAACCGAGGAAGUGCAUCCGAAACUGACGGGCUAGAGUACGGAAGAGGGUUUCGGAAUUCCCCGGUGUAGAGGUGAAAUUCGUAGAUAUCGGAGGAACACCAGUGGCGAAGGCGGAAACCUGGGCCGAUACUGACGCUGAGGUGCGAAAGCGUGGGGAGCGAAAACAGGAUUAGAUACCCUGGUAGU
Molecule: ribosomal RNA, 456 nt
Filed under: uncultured bacterium
Lineage: Bacteria
Description: bacterial SSU rRNA
Rfam family: Bacterial small subunit ribosomal RNA
Source: RNAcentral